This is a non-coding RNA of Solanum lycopersicum (tomato), 1161 nucleotides long. Lineage: Eukaryota; Viridiplantae; Streptophyta; Magnoliopsida; Solanales; Solanaceae. The record is from RefSeq and is a predicted model, not a curated record.
AACGUAUUAGAAAAUAUAUAUGACAUUUAAUUGUAUGAUUUGCUUCUGAAUAUUUAUUUUUAUUUUAAUCAAACAUAUAUAUAACGAAAUAAUGCAAGCAAUUAACUCAGCAUAAAAAUAUAAACUUUUAAGCUAUGCGAAAAGAAUAUUAAUUUUAAAAUAUGAAAGAAAAAAAAAAUCUCAUCUCAAAAUAAAAUAAAAUAUGAGUGUUGCAGAGGAAAAAUUCCACCACGUGUUGGCCAAUAGAAAUCCAUCUUGUUCCUCAAGCAACUCCAACCCACUCCCUUAUAUAAACCCAAGCCUUUCAGCUUGAGUCUGCCAUCUUCACAGCUCAGUUUUUGCUUUUCAUAUUUCUUCUUUUGAAUAUCAUGGGUCGUCGAAGUGGUGGUGGGUUCAGAUCCAGUAGUAGCAGCAGCGGAGGAAGUUGGUUUCCAUGGUCAAAAUCCCGUUCAUCUCCUCCUGUUGCUGCUGCUGAUAAGCCAUUGAAGAAUUCACCUUCACCGAAGCCAAAUCCGAAGCCUGGCAAGUCAUGAUCAUCUCAUUAAUUCCUUUACAAUUUUCGCAGUGCCUCAAAUUUUCGCAGUGCCUCAAAUUACCGACUUAAAAUUACAUUGUGUAUGUCAUUGUUGUUAUUCUAUGACUUUCAGAAUUUUGGUUCCCAUUUAUUGCAGCUUCUCCUGCUCCUGUACAGAGUUAACCUGCAGCAGGAGAUCUUGGUUCCUCAUUUACCGAUGGAAUGGCCUUUGGUAGUGGAAAUGCAGUUGGCCAUAGGAUAGCAGAUGCCGUGUUUGGCCCUCGGGUUUUUAAACACGAGGUUCAGGGGGCUGAUCCUGCCCCCUCAGCUGCUUCAUGUGCUGCCUCAAUGACAGCUUUCCAAGAGUGUCUCAAUAUCAACGGAGGCGACCUAAGCAAAUGUCAGUUUUACAUGAAUAUGGUGUGUGAGUGUCGCAGAAAUUCUACCACACUGGCUUGAUUUCAUAGACCUUGAAGACCAGCUUAAUAAUAUUAUGUUGACGAUCGACUAGUUUUGUUGGAUAGAGUUUUGGCUCUUUCGUUUUAAGUUAAUCACUAGGUUGUCAUUCAGUUCUAUUUACUACUUGAGUUCAUCUCAUUUUCUAUCAUCUUUUUCAAUAUCAUGAAUAUUAUAAAUUUUCAAAACAA